UACAACCCAUAGGAAUGUCACAUAAUUCAUAAUAGUGUGUUCCCGGUGUCAGAUAAAAAAUUGUAAAAAUGUCCCCUACUCUUCAAUAGUUUCUACUGUUGUCCAGCAUUUUUAUUUUAAACCUGAUAUCUCGAUAUUUAUCACCAACCUAAAAUUUGGUCUAAGACUUACUAUAGUCAGUCCUCACUUCUAUCAACUGUGUAGGUAAUUUUUUACUAUAGUAAAUGUGAUCAGGUAC
Cinara cedri is the source of this 238-nucleotide non-coding RNA. Lineage: Eukaryota; Metazoa; Arthropoda; Insecta; Hemiptera; Aphididae. The record is from the annotation of a GenBank genome assembly.